UACGUAGGGUGCAAGCGUUGUCCGGAAUUAUUGGGCGUAAAGAGCUCGUAGGCGGCUUGUCGCGUCGGCUGUGAAAACUCGGGGCUCAACCCCGAGCCUGCAGUCGAUACGGGCAGGCUAGAGUCCAGCAGGGGAGACUGGAAUUCCUGGUGUAGCGGUGAAAUGCGCAGAUAUCAGGAAGAACACCUAUGGCGAAAGCAGCUCUCUGGGACGGUACUGACGCUGAGACGCGAAAGCGUGGGGAGCGAACAGG
This 253-nucleotide ribosomal RNA is filed under the name uncultured bacterium. RNAcentral's name for it is "partial 16S ribosomal RNA". It matches the Rfam family "Bacterial small subunit ribosomal RNA", at positions 524 to 776 of the family's 1533-position model. The record is from RNAcentral.